AACGAACGCUGGCGGCAUGCCUAACACAUGCAAGUCGAACGAGAUCUUCGGGUCUAGUGGCGCACGGGUGCGUAACGCGUGGGAAUCUGCCCUUUGGUUCGGAAUAACAGUUGGAAACGACUGCUAAUACCGGAUGAUGACGAAAGUCCAAAGAUUUAUCGCCAGAGGAUGAGCCCGCGUAGGAUUAGCUAGUUGGUGUGGUAAAGGCGCACCAAGGCGACGAUCCUUAGCUGGUCUGGGAGGAUGGUAAGCCACACUGGGACUGAGACACGGCCCAGAAUCCUACCGGAGGCAGCAGUGGGGAAUAUUGGACAAUGGGCGAAAGCCUGAUCCAGCAAGGCCGCGUGAGUGAUGAAGGCCUUAGGGUUGUAAAGCUCUUUUACCCGGGAUGAUAAUGACAGUACCGGGAGAAUAAGCUCCGGCUAACUCCGUGCCAGCAGCCGCAGUAA
RNAcentral lists this ribosomal RNA (449 nucleotides) under uncultured bacterium. RNAcentral's name for it is "partial 16S ribosomal RNA". It matches the Rfam family "Bacterial small subunit ribosomal RNA", at positions 29 to 523 of the family's 1533-position model. The record is from RNAcentral.